Molecule: ribosomal RNA, 599 nt
Filed under: Trisopterus minutus minutus
Lineage: Eukaryota; Metazoa; Chordata; Actinopteri; Gadiformes; Gadidae
Description: partial 16S ribosomal RNA
Rfam family: Bacterial large subunit ribosomal RNA
Source: RNAcentral
CGCCUGUUUAUAAAAACAUGCCUUUUGCUUAAAAAAAAAAGGUCCCGCCGGCCCUUGGACUUAUGUUAACGGCCGCGGUUUUUAACCGUGCGAAGGUCGCGUAAUCACUUGUCCUUUAAAUGAAGACCUGUAUGAAUGGCAUCACGAGGGCUUAACUGUCUCCCAUCCCCAGUCAAUGAAAUUGACCUCCCCGUGCAGAGGCGGGGAUAACUUCAUAAGACGAGAAGACCCUAUGGAGCUUUAGACCUAAAGUAAAUCACGUUUAACAUGCUGCAAUAAUAGUAAAAACUUACUGAUAAUUACUGAAGUGUCUUUGGUUGGGGCGACCACGGGGUAAAACACAACCCCCAUGUGGACCGGGAAUACAAUUCCUAACACUCAGAGCCUCUACUCCAAGUAACAGAAAUUCUGACUUUUUUGAUCCGGUAACACCGAUCAACGAACCGAGUUACCCUAGGGAUAACAGCGCAAUCUCCUCUCAGAGCCCAUAUCGACGAGGAGGUUUACGACCUCGAUGUUGGAUCAGGACAUCCUAAGGUCAGCCGCUAUUAAGGGUUCGACGCCGUUAUGAAUCCUCCUGAUUGGGUUCAACCGGAGUA